CGCUCCCUGGGUAAAAAUAUAGGGAGUCGGACCUGCCCGGUGAUCAGAUUUUUAACGGCCGCGGUAUUUUGACUGUGCUAAGGUAGCGUAAUCAUUUGCCUUAUAAUUGAGGGCUUGUAUGAAUGGUUUGACGAAAGUUUAGCUGUCUCUACUUAAUUUUUUAGAAUUUGACUUUUAGGUGAAGAGGCCUAAAUAUAAUUAGAGGACGAGAAGACCCUAUCGAGCUUAUGACGAUUAUGGAUGGUAUUAUCGAAGUGUCUUUAAUUGGGGCGAUUAAGGAACAUAAAAAGCUUCUUUAUAUUAAUGUAUUUGCAUAUGUUGAUCCACUAAGUAGUGAUUAAAGGAUAAAGUUACCGUAGGGAUAACAGUGUUAUCUUUCUUGAGAGUUCUUAUUAAAAGAAAGGUUUGCUACCUCGAUGUUGGACUAAAGUAUCCUGGAGAUGCAGAAGUCUUUAAGGGUUGGUCUGUUCGACCAUUAAAACUUUACGU
RNAcentral lists this ribosomal RNA (489 nucleotides) under Acrilla acuminata. RNAcentral's name for it is "partial 16S ribosomal RNA". It matches the Rfam family "Bacterial large subunit ribosomal RNA", at positions 1817 to 2601 of the family's 2925-position model. Lineage: Eukaryota; Metazoa; Mollusca; Gastropoda; Epitoniidae. The record is from RNAcentral.